UUGAAAUCAAAUCAAAUCUUUCUAUUAUUGAAAGCAAAUACAUUUUGAAUUAGUAAAUUACAAACAAAAUCAGUCUAGAUACAAUCAAAUCCCAAACAUUAAACCUUUUUCUAAACAAAAUCAAAACUUAAUUAAAAUUAAAAUCUGAAUCAUAACCAAUCAAUCGAAAACUUCCUAAAGUUACAAAUCACAAUUAAAACCUAAAACCUAAAUUAAUCUAUAAAUAAAAGAGGAAUUAAUAUGAAGAAGGGGCGAGAAAAACCCUAAGGAUCAUCUCCAGCAACCGCGUUUCUGUAAUCCUUGAAACCUCACCAAAGCUCCGAUCAAACAGAAGUUAAGGUUUAAUAUCUAAACCCUAACUCUCUUGAGCUAAGCCUGGAUCCAGGAACCUCACACAAAGGAUAAUAGAGAGGAAAUCAGAAAGAGAAAGAGGAGUAAUCGAAUCAAAAGAAAAAGAAGGGAACAUAUCUUACCUCAUCGCUGAAAUAAAAAUUCAUUCCAUAUGCUGGGCUUUGUAAUCUCAUUAUUGCGUUAAAUUGUUGUUUGUAUGGAUAUGUUGUGGAUUCGAAUCAUGUCUGAUUUUGGGGUUUCUGGGAAAUUAGGGUUAUGGUUCAUCAUAGGUUAGGGUUAGGGUUCUACCUACAUAGGGUUAGGUUUCAUCUGGGUAAGGGUGGGGUUCUUCCAAGAACCCUUAGGGUUCGUGAGAACCCAACUAGGAUUCUCGAAUGUUAAGGGUUUCUAGGCUUUGGAUGAGUUAGGGUUCAUCUCAGGAACCCUAGGGCUCAUCUGGAGAACCCAGGUUGAAGGAAUGAGGAGAGGGUUCUGGAAAUUUGUUUGAAUAUUUGAAUUUUCCGGUUGAAGUUCAACUGGAAAAUUGGAGGAAGCAGUGGUUUGGACGGUGGGGGUGAAGAACAUGGGGCGGCCGAAGGGGAAGAUGGUUGAGAGAAUAGAGAGAGAACCAGAGAUAAGAGAGAGAGAGAGAGA
This 984-nucleotide long non-coding RNA is filed under the name Lathyrus oleraceus (garden pea). Its description in RNAcentral is "Pisum sativum (pea) long non-coding RNA (PSAT_LNC021493)". The record is from RNAcentral. Lineage: Eukaryota; Viridiplantae; Streptophyta; Magnoliopsida; Fabales; Fabaceae.